GUUCCUGUAGCGCAAUGGAUAGCGUGUUGGACUUCUAAUCCAACAGUCGUGGGUUCGAGUUUUACCUGGGAUG
This is a non-coding RNA of Trichonephila inaurata madagascariensis, 73 nucleotides long. The record is from the annotation of a GenBank genome assembly. Lineage: Eukaryota; Metazoa; Arthropoda; Arachnida; Araneae; Nephilidae.